Hyaena hyaena (striped hyena) is the source of this 827-nucleotide long non-coding RNA. RefSeq lists it as uncharacterized. The record is from RefSeq and is a predicted model, not a curated record. NCBI's taxonomy places the organism in Eukaryota, Metazoa, Chordata, Mammalia, Carnivora, Hyaenidae. The transcript has 3 exons.
UGGCUGCAGCACGCAUGCGGACGGAGGGGAGGCGGGAGAAUGCUGCGGUUCCGCGUUAGUGAGCGCGCGCGCGCGCCUUUGAGGCCCAUGUAGGAGUGUAGCGAAGAGAGGGGCGGCUCCGGAGAAAGCAGAUGCAGAAAAUAACAGUCCGAAAGAGAACAUCUUACUGAAGUCCCUUCGCCAGGAAGCAGCAGGGCAAGCCCGUCUCUCCCUAGAGCAAGCCCACAUUUUUUCCUCUGGCAGCGGGCAGCCUGCCUAGCGAUGAGAAACAUGGUGGGAGGAAAACAUUCUGCAAGAGGAAGGAGUUGAAAAUCGUGAAAGAUCAGAAUUGCUGGGGAGACUUGAAGGACAGUGGAACUUGACACCCAUUCUACAGAUGAAGGAAGGAUCUGAAAAGCCAGUGCUCGUCAUUCCCCGCCUCUUUUCAAGAAUCUUUUGCCAGAGGUACUAAACCAGAGGUUCCUGAACUUGAGCAGGGAUCAGAAUCCCCUGUUAAAACAGGUUGCUUGGCCCGAGCCGCUAGAGUGUUAACUUGGUGGUUCUGGGAAGGGCCUGAGAAUUUGGAUUUGCAGCAAGUUCCCUGCUGGCCCGGGAACCACACUUUAAGAAACACCAACUAAGCUUACCCUCACUUUCUUUAUCUGUAAGGGAGAGAAACCGAGGCCCUGAAAGGCUACAGGCCCAGCAUUCAGUCUGUCCAGCAGGCAGCCUGGAAUCCUUUAUCCAUUCCCCGCAGGGAAUUUCCUUCCAGAGCAGCCCCCAAUCACCCCCAUCCCAGGAUCAUGGGGAGUGUCCACAGAACAUCUCUGUGCUAAUUCGGAAAAGGU